CCUACGGGGGGCUGCAGUGAGGAAUAUUGGUCAAUGGGCGCGAGCCUGAACCAGCCAAGUCGCGUGAGGGAUGAAGGUUCUAUGGAUCGUAACCCUCUUUUAUAAGGGAAUAAAGUGUGGGACGUGUCCUAUUUUGUAUGUACCUUAUGAAUAAGGAUCGGCUAACUCCGUGCCAGCAGCCGCGGUAAUGCGGAGGAUGCGAGCGUUAUCCGGAUUUAUUGGGUUUAAAGGGUGCGUAGGCGGCAUUUUAAGUCAGCGGUGAAAGUCUGUGGCUUAACCAAAGAAUUGCCGUUGAAACUGGGGGGCUUGAGUGUGUGUGAGGCAGGCGGAAUGCGUGGUGUAGCGGUGAAAUGCUUAGAUAUCAGGCAGAACCCCGAUUGCGAAGGCAGCCUGCCAAGCCAUGACUGACGCUGAUGCACGAAAGCGUGGGGAUCAAACAGGAUUAGAUACCCGAGUAGUC
RNAcentral lists this ribosomal RNA (460 nucleotides) under uncultured bacterium. RNAcentral describes it as "partial 16S ribosomal RNA". It matches the Rfam family "Bacterial small subunit ribosomal RNA", at positions 338 to 795 of the family's 1533-position model. The record is from RNAcentral.